AUUGAACGCUGGCGGCAUGCUUUACACAUGCAAGUCGAACGGGCUUGGGGGCUUGCUCCCAAGUUAGUGGCGAACGGGUGAGUAAUACAUCGGAACGUACCGUGUAGUGGGGGAUAACGUAGCGAAAGUUACGCUAAUACCGCAUACGAUCUACGGAUGAAAGCAGGGGACCUUCGGGCCUUGUGCUAUACGAGCGGCCGAUGUCUGAUUAGCUGGUUGGUGAGGUAAAGGCUCACCAAGGCGACGAUCAGUAGCGGGUCUGAGAGGAUGAUCCGCCACACUGGGACUGAGACACGGCCCAGACUCCUACGGGAGGCAGCAGUGGGGAAUUUUGGACAAUGGGCGAAAGCCUGAUCCAGCCAUGCCGCGUGUCUGAAGAAGGCC
Molecule: ribosomal RNA, 384 nt
Filed under: uncultured bacterium
Lineage: Bacteria
Description: bacterial SSU rRNA
Rfam family: Bacterial small subunit ribosomal RNA
Source: RNAcentral